AUACGUAGGGGGCGAGCGUUGUCCGGAAUGAUUGGGCGUAAAGGGCGCGUAGGCGGCUUUGCAAGUCAGUAGUGGAAGUCCAUUUUUCAAGGAUGGAAGUGCUACAGAAACUGCGGAGCUUGAGUGCAGGAGAGGAUAUCGGAAUUCCCGGUGUAGCGGUGAAAUGCGUAGAGAUCGGGAGGAACACCAGUGGCGAAGGCGGGUAACUGGACUGCAACUGACGCUGAGGCGCGAAAGUGUGGGGAGCAAACAGGAUUAGAUACCCUGGUAGUCCACACUGUAAACGAUGAAUGCUAGGUGUAGGAGGUAUCGACCCCUUCUGUGCCGCAGUAAACACAGUAAGCAUUCCGCCUGGGGAGUACGGUCGCAAGAUUAAAACUCAAAUGAAUUGACGGGG
RNAcentral lists this ribosomal RNA (397 nucleotides) under uncultured bacterium. RNAcentral describes it as "partial 16S ribosomal RNA". It matches the Rfam family "Bacterial small subunit ribosomal RNA", at positions 523 to 918 of the family's 1533-position model. The record is from RNAcentral.